This 9348-nucleotide long non-coding RNA is filed under the name Trifolium pratense (red clover). Its description in RNAcentral is "long non-coding RNA (TPRA_LNC001869)". Lineage: Eukaryota; Viridiplantae; Streptophyta; Magnoliopsida; Fabales; Fabaceae. The record is from RNAcentral.
GGAAGAAAAGCAUUGUAUUUUUGAUAUCCCAACCGAUAACUGGAAAUGUAAUUCAACAUGUGUCAAUCUGGAGCAUGCAGUGUCUGGUAUUUGUCAAUCUGAUCAACAUCCCCUAAAUUUUCCUACGAAUUGUUACUGCAGCUUCAAAUGCAACGAAAAUAUGCCGCGGUAAGUUUAAACAACUUAUUGAUUAACCUUCAUAAAUUGUUAUGCAUUUGGUGAAUGUUGAUUUGUUGAAAGUUUAUACUCCCAUUUGAUCUUAUGUGUAAUCUUCUCUCUGAGUCUCCUUGACAUGUUAACAAAACCUACUAUUAAAUCCAUGAAACCAAUAGGUUGAAUCGAGUUUGAAACCAAUAGGUUGAAUCGAGUUUGACUUUGCAAUGCCUAAGUUUAGUCUAUUAAAAAAUAUCAAAACCCAAGUUAGGCCUGAUAUUUAUCUAUUAUAUACUUAUUUUUUGGUAUAAUAAUUAAUUUUUUUUUUCAUAUAUAAAGCUUGAAAUAGUCUAUUAACCUUCGUGAGGACUUAUUUGCGUAAGGUUUUUUUUUUUUUUGAACAGCAAUUUUAUUUUACAACUGAAUCCUUGCUCAAGGCGAACAAAGACCGAUAAUUUAGAAAAUACAAACUAAAGGCACCAUAUAUAGACAGAACACCCAAAAAUAAACGUCAUAACAGACAUCCCUACACGCAACAUCUAGCCAUACCCCACCUUAAACACCCAUGAGGACAACACCCACCAAAAUAACCAACACCACCUACAAACAGGCUCCUUCACGAAAAGGGCGCUUGAAAAACAAUAUCAGAAACCACCCAUUGUCACUACUCUCGCCGCAAAAGGAACACCCCUCUAAAUGAAAUUCCAAAUCCUCCUCACCAAAGAUGAGCUACAUCCGUAGAGCUCCUAUUCGAAAGAUCAAUCAGCUUCCACCACCUCCCCACCUCUGAUCCACCAAAAGAACUCCAUAGCCAAAGAACUGACUCCCAAUCUUGAACCAAAAGAACUCCUUAUUUGUGUAAAGACUAAUUUUAUAUUUGUACAACAACAAAAAUAGAACUAUUUUAUAUUGAUUUUAUAAUGAUGUUUUUAUAUAUGUAAUUUUAUUUUUUAUUUCUUCUUCUUCUUCCUUCAUCUUAGAUUUUUAUAUAUACCAACGAUAUUAAGUAUUAAUUUGAGAUUUAAAACCAUGUAUAUUUUAAUGAAUCGAAUAUUAUAUGACAUCCUAUUUCUUAACUUCUAUUAUCUAAAAAAAUUAAACUAGUUUUGUCGUCUAUACAUUGCUUUCUACAUAUACAUUAAUUGAUACAAAUAUUUGUUGUUACCUUUUUAUUGAAAUCAUGAAUUCAUUUGCUAGUAAAUUCUACAUCAUCUCCACGUUCCUCUAUCUUGUCCUCUUUAUUUCCGCAUAUGGUACAAACUGUUGGCGCAACAAAAAGCAUCUACACACACAUAUUGCACAAUUGCAUAGGCUCAAGACAAGCUUAUGAGCAUGAAAAUAGUUUCAUGCAAAAUGUACUAGAAGGAAUGGAAUGAAUUGAGGAAUGAGGGAAGAAUGAAUACUAGAAAUUGCUAAUGAAGAGAAAAGAAAAUUUUAUUCUUCCACAUAGGGCCAUUAUUCACAAGAGUACAAAAGAUCCUAUUUAUAUACAAUCUAAACUCACUUGCUUAGAAAACAAGUAACAAACUUACUAUCUAACUAACUAACUUGGUUGUAACUAACUCACUUAGUUAGUUGUAACCAACUUAUUCAAUCUAACAAACUAAUCUUCUAGUUAUGAUAUUACACAAUCUAACACAAACUAACUAUGCAUUUUAUAUUUAUUUUCUCGUGCUUCUUCAAAUAAUAUUAAGUCUCAAUUAUGUUUUUACUAAGCCUCAAUUAUGUUCUUAAUUAGUUUUAUUGUGAUUCUUUUUUUUUUUUUUAUGUUUAGAGAUUGAAGUAGAACUCUGUAAAGAGCAAAGUAAAAUGCGGACAGGAUCAUGUGCAUCAACUCUGCAAAAUCAAAUAGGAGUUAAACAAAGCUUUACACUUCAAUAAAUGUAAUACUUGAUUUAAAAAUUCAAUUCUUGUAGUGAUUAAAUUAUUAAAACAUUAUUUGUCAAAAAAAAUUAUUAAAACAUUAUUAACCCUUACAAAAAAAUUAUUUGCGUUUUGUUACUAAGAAUGUGUUUGAUUGCAACAUUUGUUCGAUCGUAUGUAGUAUUUGAUCGAUGCAUUAAAUUUGCAUAUAUUAUAUAUGGUGCAAUUACAUGCUCAUGCAUAUAUAUAGCGAUUAUGGUACAAUAUAUCGUUGAGAGAAUUGAAGUUACCGAUUAGUAGGAUUGACUAUGAUAUGUUAUCAAUCAUAGAAGUAUGAUAGUGGGUGUAAUAAUUCGCUCAACGAAGUCACGCUCUCCCAAUAAGAAAAUAGUUUUCCACAAAUAGAGGCUCAAACUAAUUUAUUUUCCAUUGAAUUUCCACCAUUGUGAAGCUUUGGAGUUUUGCUUUCAAGUCCUUGAAGCAAUCUCCUGGCGUUCUUUCUUAUUUGUAAAGUAUGCUCAUGAAUAUUGUUAGGAAGCAUUUGUUAUUGGGCCUAGAUUGAUUGGGUUUGGCUGGUUUUGGCCCAAUUGUUGUAAACCUAUAUAAGGCAUUUGUUAUGAAUGAAUAAACAAUGGAUCAUUGCUACCAACCAACAAGUGGUAUUAGUUAAGCCUUGAUCUAAGACCUGAAUCACGCGCUAACUAACUUCAAGAACUGCAAUUCUCUUCUCCGGUGACAUUUCCGGUGAUAGUUAGAGCCAUUACGGUGGUUGUUAACCGUCUUCAUCGUCUUUGUUGCACGAUUUCAUCUUCUCUUAAGCUCUUUCUUUCUUCGGCUUCACUCUAUCAUGGCAGAAACAUCGAAUUUCGCUUAACCAUCAAUCCCAAAGUUCGAUGGUUACUAUGAACAUUGGGCUAUGCUUAUGGAGAAUCUUCUCCGAUCGAAAGAGUACUGGACAAUGAUUGAAAAUGGAGUUCUUGCAGCUCCGGCGAAUGCAACGGCGGAACAACAACAACUUGCAGAUGCAAGUAAGCUCAUGGAUUUAAAGGUAAAAAACUACCCUUUUCAAUCGAUUGAUAGAACUAUCUUAGAAACGAUAUUGAAACGUGACACUGCAAAAAAUAUAUGGGAUGCAAUGCGACGCAAGUAUCAAGGUUCAACCAAGGUAAAACGUGCGCAAUUGCAGUCCUUGAGGCGUGAAUUUGAGAUUCUUGAAAUGGAAGAAAGUGAGUCUGUCACUGAUUUCUUUGCAAGGAUGGUGAAAUAAUGGAACAAGUGAUAGUAGUUGAAAAGAUUCUUAGGUAUAUGACUGAGAAAUUCAAUUACGUGGUGUGUUCCAUCACUGAAUCGAAUGAUGUGACUACUAUGUCUAUAGAUGAGUUACAAAGCAGUCUUCUUGUUCAUGAGAAAUUAAUAAAGGGGAAGAAGAAUCAUGGUGUCACUGUUGGUGAGGAACAAGCUCUCAAAGUUUCCAAUGCUGGUAGAGGGAGAGGUAGAAAUUCUUCCUCACGAGGAAGAGGGAGAGGAAGACAGAGUAAAGAUCUUGUAGAGUGCUACAAGUGUCAUAAGCUAGGACACUAUUGGAAUGAGUGCCCUGAUUGGGAUGCAAGUGCAAAUUAUGCUGAGUUUGGUAGCGAAGAGGAAAUGCUCCUGAUGGCAUUUUCUAACAUGAACACUGAUUGCAAGUAUGAGACAUGGUACCUUGAUAGUGGUUGCAACAAUCAUAUGGUUGAAACCAAAAAUUGGCUGUUUGAAUUUGAUGAAAGUUUCAGAGAAUCAGUGAAAUGGGGGAAUGACUCAAAAAUGGUUGUAAUGGGCAAAGGCAAUGUGAAAUUAAACAUUGAAGGAAGAAUUCAUGUGAUCACUGAUGUAUACUACCUCCCUGGCUUAGGUAACAAUCUACUUAGUAUAGGUCAAUUGCAACAAAAGGGCAUCACUAUUAUUUUCAAAAAUAAUACUUGUCAACUGUUUCAUGAAGAGAAAGGAUUAAUCAUAAGCACUGCAAUGACUGCUAAUAGAAUAUACAUCAUCAAUGCAUCUAUGAUGAUUCCCAAAUGUCUGCAAAUGACAAAGGAUGAAGAAACUAACCUGUGGCAUAAAAGAUAUGCACAUCUCACCCUUAAAGGGUUGAAGGUAUUGACUGGAAAAAACAUGGUCAAAGGCUUACCUGAAUUGAAGGAUAAUGAUGAUAAAUGCAAUGAUUGCUUGUCAGGAAAGCAACACGGAGAUAGCAUUCCAAAGCAGGCAAAUUGGAGAGCGCCUCAAAAAUUAGAACUUGUGCACUCAGAUAUUUAUGGUCCCUUAAACCCUAAAUUCAAUGGAGGGAACACGUACUUUAUCACUUUCACUAAUUAUCUUACUAGGAAAACUUGGACCUACUUUAUGCAAGAAAAACCAUCUGCAUUUGAAUUGUUUAAAAAGUCUAAGUCUCUAGAUGAAAAGGAGUCAGGAUGCUUGAUUAAGUGUCUCAGAACUGAUAGGGGUGGUGAAUUUACAUCUACUAUGUUCAAUGAUUUAUGUAGCUCUCAAGGAAUAAAGAGACAAUUGACAGCUUCUUACACUCCACAACAAAAUGGAGUUUCAGAAAGGAAGAAUAAAACACUAUUGAAUAUGGUUAGAAGCAUGUUAUCUUGCAGAGAUGUCCCUAAAAGAUUUGGCCAGAAGCAGUUAAUUGGGCUACUCAUGUGAUGAAUAGAUGUCCUACCUUUGCUAAAAAAAACAUUACACCAGAGGAAGCAUGGAGUGGACACAAACCAUCAGUGCAACACUUUAGAAUAUUUGGAUGUGUAGCUCAUGUGCACAUACCAGAUGCUCAGAGAAAGAAAUUGGAUAGAAAAAGCAUCAAAUGUAUUCAUCUUGGUGUUAGUGAAGAGUCCAAGGCUUACAAACUCUACAAUCCAAAAGAAAAGAAGAUCAUUGUCAGCAGGGUUGUAGUGUUUGAAGAAAAUAAAAGAUGGCAUUGGGACAAGAAAGGUGAAGCCUAAAAAAUUGUCGAUCAUGUCAGUGAUAGUGAAGACAACAAUGACUUUGCAGUGGAGAAUGAAGAUGAUAACCAUAAUGAGGCUGAUAUUGACACUAAUGGUAUUGACAAUGAAGAUGUCAAUGGUAACCAUGAAAGUGACAUGGACCUAGAAAACAACAGUGAUGAAUCACUUUCACCCAGACAAAGAAGGCCCCUUGGAUAUCCCAAUGAUUAUGUGACUGGAACUGAAAAGUUGGACAACAUUGAUCAAUUGCAAAACCUUGCAAUAGCUAUGUUUAGCACAAGUGAAGAUCCAAACACUUAUGAAGAAGCAACAAAAUCGAAAGUUUGGAGAGAAGCAAUGGAAUCAGAAAUCAAUGCAAUUGAAUCAAAUGAUACUUGGCAAUUGACUACUCUUCCUCAAGGAGCAAAAGCAAUAGGUGUUAAGUGGAUAUUCAAAACCAAAUACAAUGAAAAGGGCAAGAUAGAGAAGUAUCAGGCCAGACUGGUAGCAAAGGGAUAUUCACAGAAAUAUGGAAUUGAUUAUGGAGAGUUAUAUACACUUGUGGCAAGAUGGGAUACUAUAAGAACAAUUAUUUGCCUAGAUGCUUAUGAAAAAUGACCUGUGCUGCAACUUGAUGUCAAAAGUACUUUUCUUCAUGGAGAGUUAAUGGAAGAUUUGUAUGUAAUGCAACCUUUGGGAUAUCAGAAAGGGAAAAGUGAUGAGGUUUACAAGCUUAAAAAGGCCCUAUAUGGUUUGAAUCAGGCUCCUAGAGCUUGGUACAGUAAAAUAGAGUCCUACUUCAUAUCAGAAAAGUAUAAAAAAUGCACUCAUGAACAUACCUUGUUUGUCAAGCAAGGCAGUAAUCAAAAGAUUCUAAUAGUUAGCAUAUAUGUAGAUGACCUUAUCUACACUGGUAAUGAUGUUCUAAUGAUGGAUGAAUUCAAAGCAUCAAUGAAGGAUAAGUUUGCAAUGACUGACCUUGGAAAAAUGAAGUAUUUCUUAGGAGUGAAGUAAGUCAGAUUGAACAAGGAAUUUUCAUACAUCAGCACAAAUAUGGUGCUAAAAUUCUAAAGAGAUUUGGAAUGAUGGACCGUAACAAAGUAUGUAGCCCAAUUGUCACUGGAUGCAAGCUAGUGAAGGAUGAAAAUGGGAGAGCUACUGAUGCUACUACAUACAAGCAGAUGAUUGGAUGUUUAAUGUAUCUCUUAGCUACUAGACUUGACAUGAAUUUUGCAGUAUGUCUGGCUGCUAGAUACAUGGAGAGGCUAACUGAGAUGCAUGUAGCAGUGGUUAAAAGCAUAAUGAGAUACUUGAAGGGAACACUGAAGUUUGGUAUGUUGUACAAAUGCAAGAGCAGCACUGAUUUAACUCUACAAGGUUGGAAUGACUCAGACUAUGCUGGAGAUCAUGAUGACAAAAAGAGUACCUCUGGAUAUGGGUUUACUUUAGGGGAAAGUGCAUUCUGAUGGUCAUUAAAAAAGUAACCUAUAGUUACUCUAUCAACAACAGAAGUUGAGUUUGUAUCUGCAACUUCAUGUGCUUGUCAAUGCUUAUGGUUGAAGAGUGUGCUAGAUCACUUGCACAUAAAGCAAACUGGCUGCAUUGUUAUCAACUGUGAUAACAGUUUCUCUAUCAAGUUAUCUAAGAACCCUAUCAUGCACGGUAUGUGUAAACACAUAGAUGUGAGAUUCCACUUCCUAAGGGAUCUAAGCAAAGAUGGAGUAGUUGAAUUACAAUACUACAAGUCACAGGAGCAACUGGUAGAUAUCAUGACAAAGGCCCUCAAACUUGAAAGUUUUUGCAAAUUAAGGGAGGAAAUUGGAAUGUGUGACUUUCCAAACUGAUUCAGUGUGUUACUAAAGGAUGUAUGACUCUUGCAUCAUCAGCAUCAGUGCCUUUUCUUGCUUGUUUUUUCAUUACAGUUUGCUUAUGUUUGUAUCUUGCAGUGCUUGUGCUCAUGGGCGCGCUUGCAGCCUGUGUCUGUUUGUUUCUUGUAUUUUUGCUUUUAUGAUUCUUUGUAAGUUUAAGUUGAUCAGUUUAUAAUGAUCAGCUUAAGGGAGGGUAUGUUAGGAAGCAUUUGCUAUUGGACCUAUAUUGAUUGGGCUUGGCUGGUUUUGGCCCAAUUGUUGUAAGCCUAUAUAAGGCAUUUGUGAUGAAUGAAUAAACAAUGGAUCAUUGCUACCAACCAACAAAUAUGAGUAGCUAAAUUUUCUCUUGUGUUGAAAUUAGGUUAGUUAUUUAUGAUUUUAACGUAAACAUCUAAUCUGGCUGAUUAUAUAUGAAGGAUAUGUUUUGUAAUGUGUAUGAUUUAUUCUCGUUCUGGGUUUUUGUUUCUUAACAAGUUCUGUUUAAAUCUGAAUAUAACAAAGAAGUAACAAACUUUCUUAUCGUAAAAAAAAAGGAAUAAACUUUCUCUUUUUUUUUAAAAAAAACUUUAGUUUUUCAAAUAUAUAUAAAACAAGAUAUUGAAAAAGAUAACAAUAAUUGACAAAGGGUAUAAUUGACCAAUCGUAUCCUUAAAACAUAAACUUGAUGGUUAAUUAUAAACGCUAAAUAUGAUAGAACUGAACACUUAUAAGAAAACGAAAAGAGAGUAUCAUUUAAAACAGAGCAGUUUAGAAAAUCUGACUUUUAUAUCGCAUUCUAUUGCAAUGUUUUUUAAAUAUUAUGUCAAAAAGUAAUGUAGAGUCAUUUGGUUAAAUUCUAGAAAAGUUUAGCAAACUUACAAUAUUUAACACAAGAAACAAAAUCUAAUAACAAUAAAUAUAUUUAUAUUAAUUUAAAUAGAACGGUCUUAUAGACUUAAAAUAUUUUUUUAUGACUUAUAGUCUAACAUUUUUAUCAAAAUAAUAUAUUUAAAAAAUCUUGACCUUCUAUGUUUUAAAAAAUACGGUCUGGGAUAUUGUAUAAUAGACCAUAUAUUGUUUAGUAAAGAGGAAAAAUAAUCAAGAUUCGAUCCUCUCAUUUACUCUCCUCCUCAUCUCUUUUCAUCCUCUCUAUCUUUCUCUUAAUCCCACUCUCUCUCAUUAUUAUUUUAAAAAAAUUUAUUGAAGAGAGAGAUUGAAAUUAAGAGAGAGAGAGAGAUAAAAAGGAAGAGAGAGAUGGAGAGGAGAGUGAAAGAGAGGAUCCAAAUCCAAAAUAACCGAAGAGAAUUCAUUCUCUAUUAUCACACCCCUACAUGUCACCUCAAAAUUGAUUGACUUUUUUACACAAUAAACUUUGACUUGCCUUUGACUCCUUAAUAAACUAUAUGGUCAGAUUAAAACACAUUGAUAAUAAUAAAUUGAAAAUUGAAUUUUCCCCAAUAAACUUAUACCCAUCCCAUGGCUCAUAUACGGUCUAUAAAGACAUAUUGAGAAAAAUAAAUUGGAAACAGACUAUAUGGAUAUAUUAAAACAUAUUGAUAAUAAUUUAUUUUUGAAUGACAAAUAUAGUAAUAUAUAAAAAAGAGUAAUUUAUUUUUUUAAUUGAAAAUUAAUAUUAUAUAUUAUAUAAAAAAUGACAAAAGUACAAUGUAAAAAUAGAAUAAUUAUAAGAGUUAAGUUAGAAUAACAAGAUAUCAGAAUUCAGAAGUACACUAUACCAAAAUUCAAACGAACUCUAAAAUUAAACAAAAAAAUGAAAUGCACCUCAACAUCACCACCGCAAGAUGAAAUGCACCUCAACAGAUUAAUAAUAAUAAAUUGAAAAUCACAAUCUAACUCAAAGUUUUUGAUAUGAUAUGAUAUUAAAAAAUUAAACUGAUGUUGUCAUCUAUAUACAUAUAGUGUUUUCUCAAAUAUUUUGUAGAGAACAUCAUUUACAUUUAGAGUUAUGAAUUCAUCUGCUAUGAAAUUCUACACCAUUUUCAUGUUCUUCUCUCUUGUCAUCAUUCUUCUUAUUUUCACAUGUGGUACAAACUAACUAUGCAAAUUAUAACAUUGUGUGCUUCUUUAAUUCUAAGCCUUAUAAUUUAAGCUCUCAAUUAUUAUUAAUAUUAUUAUUAUUUUCUAUUUAUGUUUAGAGUCAAUGGGAAUAUUUCAACGUCGUUGUAGAGCGACAAGUCACGCAUGGGAAGGAAAGCGUUGUCAUUUUGAUAUCUCGAGUAACUCAAAAUGUAAUUCAAUAUGCGUCAACCUGGAGCAUGCAUUGUCUGGUGCUUGUGAAUAUAAUCCUCGUUCUUACUCAGUUACUACAACUUGUUACUGCAACUACAAUUGCAGCAAAUACAGAACUUGGUAAUUAGUUUAAAUUAAAAGAACUCGAAGGUUGAACCAAAUUACUUAUUAAUCAACCUUCGGCUUCUUUUAUGUUGGUGGAUAUUGAUUUUGUUGAAAGUUUGUAUUUGAUCUUAUAUAAUCUUUUUGAAAAAGAAAAAAAAAUCCGA